This 1013-nucleotide ribosomal RNA is filed under the name Pleosporales sp. JG-2019c. Its description in RNAcentral is "SSU rRNA". It matches the Rfam family "Eukaryotic small subunit ribosomal RNA", at positions 77 to 1102 of the family's 1831-position model. Lineage: Eukaryota; Fungi; Ascomycota; Dothideomycetes; Pleosporales. The record is from RNAcentral.
UACUGCGAAACUGCGAAUGGCUCAUUAAAUCAGUUAUCGUUUAUUUGAUAGUACCUACUACUUGGAUAACCGUGGUAAUUCUAGAGCUAAUACAUGCAAAAAACCUCGACUUCGGAAGGGGUGUAUUUAUUAGAUAAAAAACCAAUGCCCUCUGGGCUUUAUGGUGAAUCAUGAUAACUUAACGAAUCGCAUAGCCUUGAGCUGGCGAUGGUUCAUUCAAAUUUCUGCCCUAUCAACUUUCGAUUGGUGAGUAGUGUUCACCAAUGGUAUCGACGGGUAACGAAGAAUUAGGGUUCGAUCUCGGAGAGGACGCCCGAGAAAUGGCGUGCACAUCCAAGGAAGGCAGCAGGCGCGCAAAUUACCCAAUCCCGAUUCGGGGAGGUAGUGACAAUAAAUACUGAUGCAGGGCUCUUUUGGGUCUUGCAAUUGGAAUGAGUACAAUUUAAAUCCCUUAACGAGGAACAAUUGGAGGGCAAGUCUGGUGCCAGCAGCCGCGGUAAUUCCAGCUCCAAUAGCGUAUAUUAAAGUUGUUGCAGUUAAAAAGCUCGUAGUUGAAAUUUGGGCCUGGCUGACCGGUCCGCCUCACCGCGUGUACUGGCUCGGCCGGGCCUUUCCUUCUGGGGAAGCUCAUGGUCUUUAUUGACUGUGUGGGGAACCAGGACUUUUACUUUGAAAAAAUUAGAGUGUUCAAAGCAGGCCUUUGCUCGAAUACAUUAGCAUGGAAUAAUGGAAUAGGACGGCUUUCCUAUUUUGUUGGUUUCUAGGAGAGCCGUAAUGAUUAAUAGGGACAGUCGGGGGCAUCAGUAUUCAAUUGUCAGAGGUGAAAUUCUUGGAUUUAUUGAAGACUAACUACUGCGAAAGCAUUUGCCAAGGAUGUUUUCAUUAAUCAGUGAACGAAAGUUAGGGGAUCGAAGACGAUCAGAUACCGUCGUAGUCUUAACCAUAAACUAUGCCGACUAGGGAUCGGUGGAUGUUACUAUUUUGACUCCAUCGGCACCUUACGAGAAAUCAAA